UGGGCGUAAGCGCACGCAGGCGGUCUGUCAAGUCGGAUGUGAAAUCCCCGGGCUCAACCUGGGAACUGCAUUCGAAACUGGCAGGCUAGAGUCUUGUAGAGGGGGGUAGAAUUCCAGGUGUAGCGGUGAAAUGCGUAGAGAUCUGGAGGAACACCGGUGGCGAAGGCGGCCCCCUGGACAAUUACUGACGCUCAGGUGCGAAAGCGUGGGGAGCAAACAGGAUUAGAUACCCUGGUAGUCCACGCCGUAAACGAUGUCUGCUUGGAGGUUGUGCCCUUGCGGCGUGGCUUCCGGAGCUAACGCGUUAAGUCGACCGCCUGGGGAGUACGGCCGCAAGGUUAAAACUCAAAUGAAUUGACGGGGGCCCGCCCAAGCGGUGGAGCAUGUGGUUUAAUUCCAUGCAACGCUCAAAAACCUUACCUACUCUUGACAUC
Molecule: ribosomal RNA, 434 nt
Filed under: Enterobacter cancerogenus
Lineage: Bacteria; Pseudomonadati; Pseudomonadota; Gammaproteobacteria; Enterobacterales; Enterobacteriaceae
Description: bacterial SSU rRNA
Rfam family: Bacterial small subunit ribosomal RNA
Source: RNAcentral